GGCCUGGUUGGGUGGUCUUGCCGCAAGGUAAGCACUGCUCCGAUCGGGUCUUUCCUUCUGGGGAACCAGCGUGCUCUUAAUUGGGUGCGUUGGGGAUCCAGGACUUUUACCUUGAGAAAAUUAGAGUGUUCAAAGCAGGCAUUUGCCCGAAUACAUUAGCAUGGAAUAAUGAAAUAGGAC
Molecule: ribosomal RNA, 180 nt
Filed under: uncultured Glomeromycotina
Lineage: Eukaryota; Fungi; Glomeromycota
Description: partial small subunit ribosomal RNA
Source: RNAcentral